GACGAACGCUGGCGGCGUGCUUAACACAUGCAAGUCGAACGGAAAGGCCCCUUUGUUGUUCCUCGAGUGUGGGACGCGUGCGUAAGACUUGAGUAACCUGCCCUUGACUUCGGGAGAACGUCAGCAAACUGGGGCGAAUACUGGUUAGGAAUCCUUGCUUCAUGCAGGGGGUUGGAGAGCUUGGGCGGUUUUGGAUUGACUCACGGCUUAUCACGUGGUUUGUGGGGUAGUUGCUUACGAAGGCGUUGACGGGUGGCCUGCAUGAGAGCGGGACCGGCCACCAUAGGACUGCGGUACGGACCAGAAUCCUACGGGAGGCAGCAGUGGGGAGUAUUGCACAAUGAGCGGAAGCCUGAUGCGGAAGCGCCGGGUGCGGGAUGACCGCCUUCGGGUUGUAAACCGCGUUCAGCAGGGGCGACGCAUGUAGUGACGGUACCUGCAGAAGAAGCACCGGCUAACUACGUG
This 465-nucleotide ribosomal RNA is filed under the name uncultured bacterium. RNAcentral describes it as "partial 16S ribosomal RNA". It matches the Rfam family "Bacterial small subunit ribosomal RNA", at positions 28 to 507 of the family's 1533-position model. The record is from RNAcentral.